Molecule: non-coding RNA, 184 nt
Organism: Phoenix dactylifera (date palm)
Lineage: Eukaryota; Viridiplantae; Streptophyta; Magnoliopsida; Arecales; Arecaceae
Source: RefSeq, a predicted model, not a curated record
UGUAAUCUCUCAUCAGUGGAGGGAGCUUGUCCACUACUGGUUUUCCGAGAGAGCUCAGACAUAUUCCAAUAUUGGUAGAGCUGCUCGAGCAUCACAGACUGUUCAUCACACUUCAGGCUCCAUGAGUUAUGCGAGGCGUAGAGCUGAAUUCAUGGAUGAUAAUGGAAGGGAGCCUGGUAGGGUG